UACGGGGGGGGCAAGCGUUGUUCGGAUUCACUGGGCGUAAAGGGUGCGUAGGCGGUUGGACAAGUCUGAUGUGAAAUCCCGCAGCUUAACUGCGGAACGGCAUUGGAAACUGUCCGACUAGAGGAAUGGAGGGGAGACUGGAAUACUUGGUGUAGCAGUGAAAUGCGUAGAUAUCAAGUGGAACACCAGUGGCGAAGGCGAGUCUCUGGACAUUUCCUGACACUGAGGCACGAAGGCCAGGGGAGCAAACGGG
RNAcentral lists this ribosomal RNA (253 nucleotides) under uncultured bacterium. RNAcentral describes it as "partial 16S ribosomal RNA". It matches the Rfam family "Bacterial small subunit ribosomal RNA", at positions 524 to 776 of the family's 1533-position model. The record is from RNAcentral.